AUUGAACGCUGGCGGCAGGCCUAACACAUGCAAGUCGAACGGUAACAGGAAGAAGCUUGCUUCUUUGCUGACGAGUGGCGGACGGGUGAGUAAUGUCUGGGAAACUGCCUGAUGGAGGGGGAUAACUACUGGAAACGGUAGCUAAUACCGCAUAACGUCGCAAGACCAAAGAGGGGGACCUUCGGGCCUCUUGCCAUCGGAUUUGCCCAGAUGGGAUUAGGUAGUAGGUGGGGUAACGGCUCACCUAGGCGACGAUCCCUAGCUGGUCUGAGAGGAUGACCAGCCACACUGGAACUGAGACACGGUCCAGACUCCUACGGGAGGCAGCAGUGGGGAAUAUUGCACAAUGGGCGCAAGCCUGAUGCAGCCAUGCCGCGUGUAUGAAGAAGGCCUUCGGGUUGUAAAGUACUUUCAGCGGGGAGGAAGGGAGUAAAGUUAAUACCUUUGCUCAUUGACGUUACCCGCAGAAGAAGCACCGGCUAACUCCGUG
This 490-nucleotide ribosomal RNA is filed under the name uncultured bacterium. RNAcentral describes it as "partial 16S ribosomal RNA". It matches the Rfam family "Bacterial small subunit ribosomal RNA", at positions 30 to 507 of the family's 1533-position model. The record is from RNAcentral.